This 120-nucleotide ribosomal RNA is filed under the name Dickeya solani. The record is from RNAcentral. Lineage: Bacteria; Pseudomonadati; Pseudomonadota; Gammaproteobacteria; Enterobacterales; Pectobacteriaceae. RNAcentral also lists the same sequence under 1 other name.
UGUCUGGCGGCAAGAGCGCGGUGGUCCCACCUGACCCCAUGCCGAACUCAGAAGUGAAACGCCGUAGCGCCGAUGGUAGUGUGGGGUCUCCCCAUGCGAGAGUAGGGAACUGCCAGACAU